CCUACGGGUGACAGCAGUGAGGAAUAUUGGUCAAUGGACGCAAGUCUGAACCAGCCAUGCCGCGUGCAGGAUGACUGCUCUAUGAGUUGUAAACUGCUUUUAUACGAGGAUAAACGCAGAUACGUGUAUCUUUCUGCAAGUAUCUUACGAAUAAGGAUCGGCUAACUCCGUGCCAGCAGCCGCGGUAAUACGGAGGAUCCAAGCGUUAUCCGGAUUUAUUGGGUUUAAAGGGUGCGUAGGCGGGUGGAUAAGUUAGUGGUGAAAGCCCGAGGCUCAACGUCGGAAUUGCCAUUGAUACUGGUAGGCUAGAGAAUAGUUGAGGUAGGCGGAAUGUGUGGUGUAGCGGUGAAAUGCUUAGAGAUCAUACAGAACCCCGAUUGCGAAGGCAGCUUACUAAGCUACUUCUGACGUUGAGGCACGAAAGCGUGGGGAGCAAACAGGAUUAGAUACCCUAGUAGUC
RNAcentral lists this ribosomal RNA (460 nucleotides) under uncultured bacterium. RNAcentral describes it as "partial 16S ribosomal RNA". It matches the Rfam family "Bacterial small subunit ribosomal RNA", at positions 338 to 795 of the family's 1533-position model. The record is from RNAcentral.